AUACUCGGGUAAUCGCUGUAUAGGUUUCUAUACAGAGGAAAGUCCAUGCUCGCACAAGCUGCGAUGCUUGUAGUGUUCGUGCUUGACGAAACCAUAAGUCAAGGGAGUUCUUUAGAACUUACGGCAGGGAAAAUUCCUAAGUCUUUGAUAUGGAAUGACUACCUUGAAAGUGCCACAGUGACGGAGCCGGAGUAGAAAUACUUCGGGUGGAACGAGGUAAACCCCACGAGCGAGCAACCCAAAUAUAGGUAGGGGCACUUUUCAAUGGGAAAUGAACCAGAGAAAAGGCCGUUUGACGGCAGAUAGAUGAUUGCCACCGGAGUACGAGGUUGACCACCGUUUGCAGUACAAUGGCACAGAACAUGGCUUACAGAG
RNAcentral lists this RNase P RNA (375 nucleotides) under Halobacillus trueperi. RNAcentral describes it as "RNase P RNA component class B". It matches the Rfam family "Bacterial RNase P class B". Rfam says of the family: Ribonuclease P (RNase P) is a ubiquitous endoribonuclease, found in archaea, bacteria and eukarya as well as chloroplasts and mitochondria. Its best characterised activity is the generation of mature 5'-ends of tRNAs by cleaving the 5'-leader elements of precursor-tRNAs. RNAcentral also lists the same sequence under 1 other name. Lineage: Bacteria; Bacillati; Bacillota; Bacilli; Caryophanales; Bacillaceae. The record is from RNAcentral.